This 237-nucleotide long non-coding RNA is filed under the name Capsicum annuum. Its description in RNAcentral is "long non-coding RNA (CANN_LNC019924)". The record is from RNAcentral. Lineage: Eukaryota; Viridiplantae; Streptophyta; Magnoliopsida; Solanales; Solanaceae.
AGUGAGGGUUGGUUUGAUUUGUCGCAAUACGUGGAUAUAACAUUUGGUGCAUGGCCUCGGGAGUACUAGUUAGUGAAAUAUGUUGAGGGGUAGAAGGUCGGCUUCUUUGGCUUUCCACUCUCUCCAAUAUCCCACCAAUUAUUGACACUUCACCCUUCAUUGAUACCACAUUCGAGUCUAGUUUUUCAAUACCCUUGGUCAUCCUAGCCAUGUCUCGGGACAUAGCUUCAAGGCGAG